RNAcentral lists this long non-coding RNA (253 nucleotides) under Lathyrus oleraceus (garden pea). RNAcentral's name for it is "Pisum sativum (pea) long non-coding RNA (PSAT_LNC029878)". Lineage: Eukaryota; Viridiplantae; Streptophyta; Magnoliopsida; Fabales; Fabaceae. The record is from RNAcentral.
AAUUUUCCAAUUCCUAACCAAACCUAAAUGUGAACCCAAAAGGAAAUGGAGAAGAGGAAUUGAAAAGCAUAACAUACCUUACUGAAGCACUUGGUUCUCGUUAGCAAAUGAAGAUUAGGGAGUUGGGAAAGGAAAAUUUUCAGUUUUGGGAAGUUUUUGGGAGUGGAAGUGAAAGCGAGGCAAACUUGGUGUUUUGAAAAUGAAUUAAAAUGAAAAGGAAAAUAUAACCUAACAGAACUUAAGUGGUUCUGCC